UCCGAGUUGUCCCCGGCAGUCCUCUUAGAGUCCCCGGCAUUACCCGCUGGCAACUAAGAGCAGGGGUUGCGCUCGUUGCGGCACUUAAGCCAACACCUCACGGCACGAGCUGACGACAGCCAUGCAGCACCUGUGCUAGCCCCUUACGGACACCGGCUUUCACCGGCUUCACCCUGCAUGUCAAGUCCAGGUAAGGUUCUUCGCGUUGCGUCGAAUUAAACCACAUGCUCCGCUGCUUGUGCGGGUCCCCGUCAAUUCCUUUGAGUUUUAGCCUUGCGGCCGUACUCCCCAGGCGGGGUGCUUAAUGCGUUAGCUUCGGCACGGAUGGAGUCGACACCACCCACACCUAGCACCCAUCGUUUACGGCGUGGACUAC
Molecule: unclassified non-coding RNA, 376 nt
Filed under: uncultured Actinomycetes bacterium
Lineage: Bacteria; Bacillati; Actinomycetota; Actinomycetes
Description: uncultured actinobacterium contains 16S-23S intergenic spacer region
Source: RNAcentral